RNAcentral lists this small RNA (1158 nucleotides) under Pan troglodytes (chimpanzee). RNAcentral's name for it is "processed transcript". Lineage: Eukaryota; Metazoa; Chordata; Mammalia; Primates; Hominidae. The record is from RNAcentral.
AUUCCCUCGGCGGGCCGAGCCUCCCCUCUCUCCCGCCCCUCCUCCUCCCUUUCCCACCCCUCGGAGUGGAGCUGCACAUGCGGCUGCUCCCUGCUCCGUCCCGCCCAGCCACUGUCGCGCAGGAACGGGUCCCUGCAGCCCCCAGCCGAUGGCAGGACAGUAGCCGCCUGUCAGAGGUCGUGAACGGCUGAGGCAGACGCAGCGGCUCCCGGGCCUCAAGAGAGUGGGUGUCUCCGGAGGCCAUGGGCUACCCGGAGGUGGAGCGCAGGGAACUCCUGCCUGCAGCAGCGCCGCGGGAGCGAGGGAGCCAGGGCUGCGGGUGUGGCGGGGCCCCUGCCCGGGCGGGCGAAGGGAACAGCUGCCUGCUCUUCCUGGGUUUCUUUGGCCUCUCGCUGGCCCUCCACCUGCUGACGUUGUGCUGCUACCUAGAGUUGCGCUCGGAGUUGCGGCGGGAACGUGGAGCCGAGUCCCGCCUUGGCGGCUCGGGCACCCCUGGCACCUCUGGCACCCUAAGCAGCCUCGGUGGCCUCGACCCUGACAGCCCCAUCACCAGUCACCUUGGGCAGCCGUCACCUAAGCAGCAGCCAUUGGAACCGGGAGAAGCCGCACUCCACUCUGACUCCCAGGACGGGCACCAGGCCUGUUUUCCUCAGGUCUUGCUAAGCCUGUGACCUGUCAGCUAUGCUUAGAUGGCCCUAUUGAAUUUCUUCUUCCCUGAUGAAAAGCCAUACUCUGAAGAAGAAAGUAGGCGUGUUCGCCGCAAUAAAAGAAGCAAAAGCAAUGAAGGAGCAGAUGGUAAGUCUACUCAGUUGAUCCUUUAUCACUUCUGAAUUAUUUGUUAGUAAAAGUAUCCUUUUAAGAACUACCUUCUUGGUAGGGCAUGGUGGCUCACGCCUGUAAUCCUAGCACUUUGGGAGGCCCAGGCGGGCAGAUCACUUGAGGUGAGGAAUUCAAAACCAGCCUGGCCAAUAUGGUGAAACCCUGUCUCUACUAAAAAUACAAAAAAAAUUAGCCGGGCCUAGUCCCAGCUGCUUGGGAGACUGAGGCAGGAGAAUCGCUUGAAACUGGGAGGUAGAGGUUGCAGUGAGCUGAGACUGUGCCACUGCACUCCAGCCUGGGUGACAGUGUGAGACUCCAUCUCAAAAAAAAAAAAAAAAA